Molecule: long non-coding RNA, 680 nt
Filed under: Bos taurus (domestic cattle)
Lineage: Eukaryota; Metazoa; Chordata; Mammalia; Artiodactyla; Bovidae
Description: long non-coding RNA NONBTAT007492
Source: RNAcentral
AAUGUUUUACUAAGAGAAAAGCUGAGGCAAUGUUUAAUGUUGUAUCUAUCAUACCAUGGAGUUUGAUACAAAAACCAGGAAGUUCAGUCAGGACACAAUUAUUAAGCCAAUUUUACUUCACUCCCCUUUUAAAAGUAACUCCUAAAUAGGGGACACAAAAUUCACUAGACAUCUCCCUUCUGCUCCAUGGCAUUUUAUAAGGACACUAGGAACUGUGUGUUUCUCUCCUUCUGCCUCAGAGGCAAUUUUGGAUUGUAGAAAUCUCUAAGGUGCUUAUUGUCCUUGGGGUUUUUAUCAUUUAAAUGCCCAAAUUCUGUUUUUCACUGACCUAGCUCACUUUCUGCAUGAACAGCUUUAGUACCCACUUCACUGUGGGGUAAGGUUAGCUAUUAGCACCAGUAUUAAGCAGAUCCUUCCUAAGAACACUCUGUAAAUAGCAGGGGGUAGGGAGAAUGGUAAGGAAAAAACAACACUCAUUUAGCAGUCAAGCGCAGGACUGUACUGCCCCCGUGGGAUUUUCAUGUUUAAGGAAUAUGGUCUUAAUGCCCACCUUGUGGCAAUAUCUAUCUAGCUAACAUCCAUUCCCUCCCCCAGCUGAUUUGGGUAGGGGGCGGGGCAGGAGACAAACAGCAAAGUUAUCUUGUUAGCAAAAAACAAAACAAAAACAUGGUCUUCUUCUC